GACGAACGCUGGCGGCGUGCUUAACACAUGCAAGUCGAACGGUGAAGCGCCUUCCUUUUUGGUGGGUGUGGAUGAGUGGCGAACGGGUGAGUAACACGUGAGUAACCUGCCCCCUUCUUCUGGAUAACCGCAUGAAAGUGUGGCUAAUACGGGAUAUUCUGGGUCUGUCGCAUGAUGGGUCUGGGAAAGAUAUUGUUUCGGUGGGGGAUGGGCUCGCGGCCUAUCAGCUUGUUGGUGGGGUGAUGGCCUACCAAGGCGGUGACGGGUAGCCGGCCUGAGAGGGUGGACGGUCACACUGGGACUGAGACACGGCCCAGACUCCUACGGGAGGCAGCAGUGGGGAAUAUUGCACAAUGGGCGCAAGCCGGAUGCAGCGACGCCGCGUGAGGGAUGGAGGCCGUCGGGUUGUGAACCUCUUUCGCCAGUGAAGCAGGCCUGCCUCGUUUGUGGGUGGGUUGACGGUAGCUGGAUAAGAAGCGCCGGCUAACUACGU
RNAcentral lists this ribosomal RNA (493 nucleotides) under uncultured bacterium. Its description in RNAcentral is "partial 16S ribosomal RNA". It matches the Rfam family "Bacterial small subunit ribosomal RNA", at positions 28 to 506 of the family's 1533-position model. The record is from RNAcentral.